GGAUGAACGCUAGCGGCAAGCUUAAUACAUGCAAGUCGUGGGGCAGCAUGAAGUAGCAAUACUUUGAUGGCGACCGGCAAACGGGUGCGGAACACGUACACAACCUUCCGAUAAGUGGGGAAUAGCCCAGAGAAAUUUGGAUUAAUACCCCGUAACAUUGCGAUGUGGCAUCACAUUGCAAUUAUAGCUUCGGCGCUUAUUGAUGGGUGUGCGUAUGAUUAGAUAGUUGGCGGGGUAACGGCCCACCAAGUCUACGAUCAUUAGCUGAUGUGAGAGCAUGAUCAGCCACACGGGCACUGAGACACGGGCCCGACUCCUACGGGAGGCAGCAGUAAGGAAUAUUGGUCAAUGGACGAAAGUCUGAACCAGCUAUGCCGCGUGAAGGAUUAAGGUCCUCUGGAUUGUAAACUUCUUUUAUAUGGGACGAAAAAAGGUCUUUCUAGAUCACUUGACGGUACCAUAUGAAUAAGCACCGGCUAACUCCGUGCCAGCAGCCGCGGUAAUACGGAGGGUGCAAGCGUUAUCCGGAUUCACUGGGUUUAAAGGGUGCGUAGGCGGGCAGGUAAGUCAGUGGUGAAAUCCUGGAGCUCAACUCCAGAACUGCCAUUGAUACUAUCUGUCUUGAAUAUUGUGGAGGUAAGCGGAAUAUGUCAUGUA
Molecule: ribosomal RNA, 657 nt
Filed under: uncultured bacterium
Lineage: Bacteria
Description: bacterial SSU rRNA
Rfam family: Bacterial small subunit ribosomal RNA
Source: RNAcentral